Molecule: ribosomal RNA, 492 nt
Filed under: uncultured bacterium
Lineage: Bacteria
Description: partial 16S ribosomal RNA
Rfam family: Bacterial small subunit ribosomal RNA
Source: RNAcentral
AGUGAACGCUGGCGGUAGGCCUAACACAUGCAAGUCGAACGGCAGCACAGUAAGAGCUUGCUCUUACGGGUGGCGGGUGGCGGACGGGUGCGGAAUACAUCGGAAUCUACUUUUUCGAGGGGUGUAACGACGGGAAAAUGACGCUAGUACCUCAUACGACCAACGGGUGAAACCAGGGAAUAUUGGGACUUUGCGGGAUUGAAAGAGCCGGUGUCGGAUUAGCUAGUUGGAGGGGUAAAGGCACACCAAGGCGACGGUCCGUAGCUGGUCGGAGAGGAUGAUCAGCCCCACUGGAACUGAGACAACCUCCAGACCCCUGCGGGAGGGUGUAGCCGGGAACAUUGGACAAUGCGUGCAAGCCCGCUCCUGGCAUACCGAGUGCGGCAAGAAGGCCUCCGGGUUGUAAAGCCCUCUUGUUGGGAAAGAACAGCAGUCUGCUUACAUUCCGCCGUGCUGACGGUACCCAAACAAUAAGCACCGGCUAAUUUCGUG